UCCGUCAACUAAUGGGCUACUAGAUUUCUUUUACAUAAUUACAGCAGAACUAAAACUGCUUAAGUGACGGAAUACUUUAAGAAACAUUUGGCGUCAUCAGAUGUGGAGAAAGCCUGCGGAGUAUAUUGGGUUAACAAAUUUAGCACUUAACUGUUAGGAAUGACGCUCCUAACAGUUUUUU
RNAcentral lists this non-coding RNA (181 nucleotides) under unclassified sequences. Its description in RNAcentral is "FuFi-1 RNA". It matches the Rfam family "FuFi-1 RNA". The record is from Rfam by way of RNAcentral.